CAAAAUGAGGUUUUAAUACUAAAUAGAUCUUCAAGGAAUGGUUUUAUGAGCUGAGUAAAAUUUCAAGGUGUGGGCUUAUCUUAUCUUGGUCCCUAUAUUUAUCAUUAAUGCAUUAGGUGUUUGAGUUUUCAUCAUUUUAUUAAUGUUGUGUUUAUGUGUUUUGUUUGUCAAUGAUUGUUCUGAAACUGACGUUGUGAAGACACUUUUGAUUUAUUCCACAUAAAAAUGUCUUCAAUUUCAAAUUUUUAAGGUCAAUUUGGGAAAAAAAUUUGCCUUUCGUUUUAUUUUCAAUAUUUUUUUUUGUUGGGACUCUUGUUCUGGUUUUAUUUAUACUUUAUGCAUACUAAGAUGUACGUAUUUUCUAUUUGUAUGGCUCAUUUUUUUUUGUAUUGAAUUUUUGGCCAUAAGAUCAAUGGACAAUAGAAGGAAAAAUAAGAAAAAAGAAUUGUAGAUUGAUUUCUGGGCUAUGGUUUAGUACUUGAUGCAGGAAAUUAAUAUAGCUAAUAUAGAAGUAAAGAAAUUAGUGAGAAAUUGAUGAAUGAUUAUGUUAAGCAAAUAAAUUUGGUGAAAAUGAUUAAAUUUCUGUAAUUCGCAGACGUUUUGUUAUUUUAGUUACAAGCUCAAAAUAAUUUUGUUUAGAUUUAUCUAUAGGUUCAACCAGAACAUUUCAUAGUAAGGUGAUUUUCAGAAAAGCAAAUGCUUAAUACGGCCAAUAUCAUUUUUAUCAUCAUGGCAAAAAAACUCAAAUUUUGUUGUUGAUCAAAUUGUGCCCGCACUAAACAAUAUUCCUGAAUGUUCCCCUCUAGACUGCACCAGAUGUUCAGGGUUCCAACCUCCUCCAGGUCAUACUAAAGCUGUGGAGCUUCAGUACCUGUUGCAUUCUGUAAACAUGGUGGCGAUUCCCAGAUGCCUGGUGCUAAAAAAUCAAAGAAGCAAUGAUGUCCUCUGGUCCUGCCUUCUUGACCUUUAACUCCUUGACUAAUUAUUUGAUUUGGUCCUGUAUACUUGGUACUUGGUUGGUCGAUUCCCUCCCCUAAUUCGAUAGUAUACUUUUAAUUUUAAAAAAAGGGAAAAUAUUUGAAAUUUUGGUUUAAAACAUGAACUACUAGCAGUUGAUAGUAUGUAGUGAUUGCUUAAUUUGAUGAAAUUCAAUAUGCAUACCUAUGAAUUAUUUUAUGCCUGAGGUGCAUAUUAAGAUGUGCUAGAUGCUAAAUUUUGAUUCACUGCAUUAUAUCAUAAAAGUAUAUUUUCAAUCGAUUGAUGUGGCUUCUAAAAGAAUGAAAUAGUGUAUUUCCUC
Molecule: long non-coding RNA, 1297 nt
Filed under: Olea europaea (common olive)
Lineage: Eukaryota; Viridiplantae; Streptophyta; Magnoliopsida; Lamiales; Oleaceae
Description: long non-coding RNA (OEUR_LNC003118)
Source: RNAcentral